GCUCGAGGAUGGGACUGCGGCCUAUCAGGCUGUUGGUGGUGUAACGGACCACCAAACCUACGACGGGUAUGGGCAAUGGGAGUUGGAGCCCAGAGAUGGGGACUGAGACAAGGCCCCAGGCCCUACGGGGCGCAGCAGGCGCGAAAACUUCGCAAUGCGCGAAAGCGUGACGAGGGAACCCCAAGUGCCGUUGGUCUUUUGAUCGACGGCUUUUCGGGAGUCUAAGAAGCUUCCAGAAUAAGGGCUGGGCAAGACUGGUGCCAGCCGCCGCGGUAAUACCAGCAGCCCAAGUGGUGGUCGCGUUUAUUGGGCCUAAAGCGCUCGUAGCCGGGCUUGCAAGUCCCUUGUGAAAUCGGACGGCUCAACCGUUCGGCGUGCAAGGGAUACUGCCAGUCUUGGGAUCGGGAGAGGUCGGGGGUACUUCGGGGGUAGCGGUGAAAUGCUGUAAUCCCUGGGGGACCACCAGUGGCGAAGGCGCCCGACCAUAACGGAUCCGACGGUGAGGGGCGAAGGCUAGGGGAGCGAACGGGAUUAGAUACCCCGGUAGUCCUAGCAGUAAAGGAUGCGGGCUGGGUGUCAGGCGCCCUUCGAGAGCGCCUAGUGCCGUAGGGAAGCCGUUAAGCCCGCCGCCUGGGAAGUACGGUCGCAAGGCUGAAACUUAAAGAAAUUGGCGGGGGAGCACUACA
Molecule: ribosomal RNA, 686 nt
Filed under: uncultured archaeon
Lineage: Archaea
Description: bacterial SSU rRNA
Rfam family: Archaeal small subunit ribosomal RNA
Source: RNAcentral